Long non-coding RNA from Ruditapes philippinarum (Manila clam), 979 nucleotides. RefSeq lists it as uncharacterized. The transcript is spliced from 2 exons. The record is from RefSeq and is a predicted model, not a curated record. NCBI's taxonomy places the organism in Eukaryota, Metazoa, Mollusca, Bivalvia, Venerida, Veneridae.
ACAUGUGAUCUACCUAAUCAUGUAGCAAAGCUUAAUAACCCAAAACGAAAGGCAUAUAUUCAAGGUGAGACGAUAAGUAAUUUCCACUGUGACGCUGGUUACAGGUUGUCAUCUCAUAAAAACAUGACGUGUCGGUCAGAUGGAACGUGGUCUACGGUCGUAGAAUGCAUUAAAAAUGUAAACAAACAAACAACGUGCCACAAUUCGUUUGAUAGAGGUCACAAAUGGGCUCUUAAAGCGCAUACCAGAAAAUAUAAGAUUGCUUUACAAACAAAUAAGAAAUGGAUGAGUUUAUGUGAAUGUAAAAAUUCAUGCGUUCAGGUUCCGAACAAGUCGUGUGUUGCUAUAAGUUACAACUUAAGGGUUGGGAAAUGCGAAGGUUUCUAUGGUGGAGCGUCCUUCUUGCACGUAAUCGGAGCAUGGAGUGCACGUGUGUAUAUCAGGAUAUAGAUUUUGGUUCGAUUUACCAGAUCAUUUUUGUCACUUCUCGAAGCGGAUAUUUAUCCGAAGUUGAAAGAAUAUUGACACUUAUUUGUCUCGAGAAAUUUACGAAAUAUUCACAAUUUGCACUGAAAUUGGCGAAAAUACCGCUUUUUCAACAACACAUUAUUUGGCAGACAGUAUCAAGAAGUACGGGAAAUGGCAAAAUAAACCGAUUUUUCAAGUCCUUUUUGAUGAAGGAAGUAGUUUUGAUGAAGGAAGUAAGCUGUUAUGUAUGAGGCAUGUAGUUACAUUUAACAGUUGUGCCUAUUAUUCAAGUGUAAACAUUACUGUACUAAAAGUGAUGUACUUGUAGUUGGCAUCCUAGAAGAUAUUAGAAAUAGAGAAACGGUAGAACACGAAUUAAAAUCACUUUAUAAGGACAUUAUAAACCUAAAUGAUAUAAUUAAAACCUUUACUGGGCUGCUGAAUUGAUGAAUUAGCAGCAAGUGUCUUUAAUGACAUAGACCUUGAACAUUUUUGUAUUUCUAAUAAUGUA